RNAcentral lists this ribosomal RNA (983 nucleotides) under uncultured Streptococcus sp. RNAcentral's name for it is "bacterial SSU rRNA". The stretch from base 1 to 508 matches the Rfam family "Bacterial small subunit ribosomal RNA", at positions 28 to 545 of the family's 1533-position model. The record is from RNAcentral. Lineage: Bacteria; Bacillati; Bacillota; Bacilli; Lactobacillales; Streptococcaceae.
GAUGAACGCUGGCGGCGUGCCUAACACAUGCAAGUCGAGCGCGUCUGAUUUGAUGCUUGCAUUGAUGAAAGAUGAGCGGCGGACGGGUGAGUAACGCGUGGGUAACCUGCCCUAUACACUUGGAUAACAUACUGAAAAGUUUACUAAUACAUGAUAAUAUAUAUUUACGGCAUCGGAUAUAUAUCAAAGUGUUAGCGGUAUAGGAUGGACCCGCGUCUGAUUAGCUAGUUGGUGAGAUAACUGCCCACCAAUGCGACGAUCAUUAGCCUACCUGAGAGGUUGAGCGGCCACAUUGGAACUGAUACACGGUCCAAACUCCUACGGGAGGCAGCAGUGUGGAAUAUUGUACAAUGGUCGCAAGCCUGAUGCAUGAACGCCGCGUGAUCUAUAAAGGUCUUCGGAUCGUAUAGUUGUGUUGCUGGGGAAGAUAAUGACUGUACCCUGUUAGGAAUCCCUGGCUAAUUUCUGGCCUGUCAGCCGCGUUUAUACGUAGGGUGUUAGCGUUUUCCUGAUUGACGGGUUGGUAGUGGGUGCGGUGGUUGUCUUCGGGCGGGUGGUGUGAAGGCUGUGUGCUCAACCUUGUUGUGCUCCUGAAACUGUAAUUCUUGUGUGUGCGUGAGAGUAAAGUGGUAUUGUCGGAUGCGAUCUGCUGAUGAUGUUUGAGUUGUGGUAGUAUACGUUGUUUGUCUGCUGAUGCGUUUUCUGUUGCUGUAUCUUGAUGGUGUGCUGUGUGUGUGGUUGUGUUGUACUUGUGUUGUUGUGUCUUGCUUGUGUGUGUGGGUUGGACUGGUGUGUUGUAUGCUUGUUGAAUAUGGUGGGAUCGUGUGGGUGGUAAAUAAAACUGUGUGUUGUGUGAUGUGUGUGUGCUGUGUCUUUGUGUGGAAUGUAGUGCGCAUAGUAGUGUAUGUUUGAUUGUGUAUGUUUUGAUUUAUAAUUUCGAUUGUGUCUGAUGGCCAUGCUGUACUAUGGUAUCGCUGACAUCU